Molecule: ribosomal RNA, 459 nt
Filed under: Lautropia mirabilis
Lineage: Bacteria; Pseudomonadati; Pseudomonadota; Betaproteobacteria; Burkholderiales; Burkholderiaceae
Description: bacterial SSU rRNA
Rfam family: Bacterial small subunit ribosomal RNA
Source: RNAcentral
AUUGAACGCUGGCGGCAUGCUUUACACAUGCAAGUCGAACGGCAGCGCGGGCUUCGGCCUGGCGGCGAGUGGCGAACGGGUGAGUAAUACAUCGGAACGUGCCCAGUAGUGGGGGAUAGCUCGGCGAAAGCCGGAUUAAUACCGCAUACGACCUGAGGGUGAAAGCGGGGGAUCUUCGGACCUCGCGCUAUUGGAGCGGCCGAUGGCAGAUUAGCUAGUUGGUGGGGUAAAGGCCUACCAAGGCGACGAUCUGUAGCUGGUCUGAGAGGACGACCAGCCACACUGGGACUGAGACACGGCCCAGACUCCUACGGGAGGCAGCAGUGGGGAAUUUUGGACAAUGGGCGAAAGCCUGAUCCAGCAAUGCCGCGUGUGUGAUGAAGGCCUUCGGGUUGUAAAGCACUUUUGGCGGGAACGAAAAGGACUGUGCCAAUACCACGGUUCGAUGACGGUACCCCA